RNAcentral lists this ribosomal RNA (480 nucleotides) under uncultured bacterium. RNAcentral's name for it is "partial 16S ribosomal RNA". It matches the Rfam family "Bacterial small subunit ribosomal RNA", at positions 28 to 523 of the family's 1533-position model. The record is from RNAcentral.
GACGAACGCUGGCGGCGUGCUUAACACAUGCAAGUCGAACGGAAAGUGCUCUUCGGAGUGACUCGAGUGGCGAACGGGUGAGUAACACGUGGGUGAUCUGCCCUGCACUUUGGGAUAAGCCUGGGAAACUGGGUCUAAUACCGAAUAGGACCACGCGCUUCAUGGUGUGUGGUGGAAAGCUUUUGCGGUGUGGGAUGGGCCCGCGGCCUAUCAGCGUGUUGGUGGGGGAAUGGCCUACCAAGGCGACGACGGGUAGCGGGCCUGAGAGGGUGACCGGCCACGAUGGGAAUGAGAUACGGCCCAGACUCCUACGGGAGGCAGCAGUGGGGAAUAUUGCACAAUGGGCGCAAGCCUGAUGCAGCGACGCCGCGUGAGGGAUGACGGCCUUCGGGUUGUAAACCUCUUUCAGUAGGGACGAAGCGCAAGUGACGGUACCUAUAGAAGAAGGACCGGCCAACUACGUGCCAGCCGCCGCGGUAA